This is a non-coding RNA of Rattus norvegicus (Norway rat), 14404 nucleotides long. The record is from RefSeq and is a predicted model, not a curated record. NCBI's taxonomy places the organism in Eukaryota, Metazoa, Chordata, Mammalia, Rodentia, Muridae.
UUUUGGCUUAUUUACUCCCAUUUUGUUUAUUGUUUUGUUUUUUUUUCAAUGAAAAAGCAAAUCAGGCAAAAGUUUACAGCCACAGUAAAAAUUUCAAGUAGGCCAGUUGACAGAAUUAGGUGGUGGCUCUUAAAAGUUACAGGAGUAUUAGCUGGCAGGAAUUUCUGUUUUCUGGUAGUCACACUGAGGUGAAUGUGAUCUAUCGUCUAUAUCAGUUCUUGUUGAAAACAAACUGGUGCAUGUCAGGGGUCGAUCCCGAUACCGAGGCUGGAGUCUCUGGCUCUCCCGCCUUGUCCAGGAGUGACUCGAAAGGAGGUGUCAGAAUCUGCAGCCAGAUGUAUUCUCAAAGGAGCUCUCUUAAAUGUUUAGCCAGCUCAUUUUUGUCUAGAUAAACUUGUGUGUGGGCAGCUUACGUUUAUGCAUUUCUCGUUUACAUUCAAACUGAAAAAUAAGGCCAUACUCCCCCACCACCAUUCACUCAAAUCAGUUCUAGAAAAGGCCACUGAGUCACCUUCCAGGCCAGCCAGAGCAUGUUCUUGUCAUUGCCUUUUUUGACCGUCAGCAGCAUUUGGUAGUUUUGGCAAUGGACUGUUUUAAAAGACUUUUUAAAAUUUUUUUUUCUCUUUUUUUCGGAGCUGGGGACCGAACCCAGGGCCUUGCGCUUGCUAGGCAAGCGCUCUACCACUGAGCUAAAUCCCCAACCCCUUUUUUUUAAUUUUUAAAUAAAUUGUUUUUCAUACAAUGUAUCUUUAUCAUAUUCCUUCCUCCCUCAACUCCUUCCAGAUUCUCCUCACCCAAUGUCAUGUUCUUUCUCCUCCGCCAAAAAAUCAAAAGAAACAUCAACAAAAUUCAUUGAAAAUAAAACAUACCAAAACAAAAAGUAUACAUACACAUGUGCACACACACAUGCACAAGCUUGAACACACAUGUGUACACAUGCAGAAGCCUGAACACACAUGUAUACACACACACACACACACACACACACACACACACACAACUGAUUUCUCAUUAACCCUUGUGAAGGCAACUUUUCUUUUUGCUCCAGACAUUUCUUUCACCCUUGACUGUCUUCCAUUCUUUGUUUUAUUGACAGGUCUCAUGUGUUUUCUUUUUUUCUUAAUGGUUUGGAAUUACUAAUAUACUAACAUUUAGAAUAGUGUGUUCUAAAAAUUUUUAAAAAUCCGAACCAGGGGAAAAAGCUAAUGCAAAAGAUACAAAAGUAUGGUCUCCUUUCUCCUUCACCCAUUCUGUGUCCCAUAGGUGUGGUGACAUUAAUCCUCUCCAGACACUUCCACUGAGCGUGAAAAAUAUUCUAUAAGUAAUUAUGUUAGUUGGCAGAAUUUGGAACAAUUCCAGAUAUAAAUGUAUGGCCAUUCUACCAUAGUUACUCAGUUUUGUAAGCUACUUAAAUAAAAAUAAUUAUUUAUUCAAUUAAAAUAUGCAUGGCUUUUCUUAUGUAUCCCUUUAUAUUUAUAAACCUGAUCUUGGGGCUUCUCAAGAUGCACCUAUGAGUCUGUAACAUCCCUUUAAUGUGGGUUCUGAGAUAGGAGAUGUACACCAAGCCCUGAAUUUCCCUGUUUUCCUCCUUCCUUUUCUUUGCUAUUCCUUCUUCUCUUCCUCCCUUCUCUACCCCCUCCCUUUCCUCUUUUUCCUCUUUCCCUCAGAGAUUAAAUCCGAGGCCUUGAAUACAUUCAACAAGUGCUCUGGUACCAAGGUACACCCCAGUUCCUGAGAUUUUAAGGCAAAGCCUUGCUGUGUAGCCCAGGCUGGCCAUUAACUCAUGACCUGCCUCUGCUGUCCUAAUGCUGGAAUGUUGUUGGCAUUCUGUCUAAGCUCCACCCCCACAGUUACCUGGCAACAGCCAGGUAUGCCUGACACUGUAAAAGGGGCUGCUUGCCCCCUCCUCUCUCUCUUGCUUCUUGCUCCCUCUUGUUCUCUCUUGCUCUCUUGCUCUUACCCUCUUCCCCUUUGUCCCUUCUCUCCCCAUUCCCCUCCCCGCUUCUCUCCAUGUGCUCAUAGCCUGCCUCUACUCCUCUUCUCCCUUCUCUCUUCUCCCUUCUCCCUCCUCCCUCCUCCCUCCCCUCCUACCCUCUUAAAUCCCCUCCCCAUGCCCUGAAUAAACUGUUCUACACUAUACUGUCGUAUGGCUGGUCCCUCAGAGGGAAGGGAUGCCUCAGCGCGGGCAUGCAGAGGCACUCCCUUUUCCUCAUACCUCACCACACCUCCAUAGAACACAAUCCCUCCUCUCCUUAUCCUUUUAUAAGCACAAACAGCCGUGGACCACAAGUCAGUCAGAUUCUGAAUUUCUGCAGUCAGAUGUUUCACUACUGAGUUGUGUCCUCAGAAUUCGGAAUUUCUAAUACGUUCACAGCACAUCCAGUUCUGCUGUUCUGGGGACCUUUGGAGGGCAAGUUUAUCCACUGUAUUUUCCGUAUUUCUUACUUCAGUUCACAGGGUGUGCCAGAGGUUUCUCUGACAAUGCAUAGAUUACUGCUGCUAUGUGUUCUCUCUCUCUCUCUCUCUCUCUCUCUCUCUCUCUCUCUCUCUGUCACACACACACACACACACACACACACACACACAAUCACAUGACGGUUGAAUAUCUAACUGUCUUGACAUCCAAGUUAAACUACUGCUGUUCUAGCUGUUGGUAAUAGCACACGCCUUUAAUCCCAGCACCCAGGAGGCAGAGACAGGUGAAUUUCUUUGAGUUCAAAGCCAGUCUGGUCUACAGAGCAAGUCCCAGGACAGCCAAGGCUACAUUGAGAGACCCUGCCUCAGAGAAACCAAUAACACAAGUGCUGCUGUUCUUUCAUAGCUUCCUGUGUGUGCAUUAGUGUUUAGCAUAUUAUUCAUGUAACUAUGCUCACAAAUCCCCAGGAGUGAUAGCUUUGUGGUCCUGCCUGUCUUGGAGUGACCAUUUAUAAUCUCAUUGGCCGCACAUGAGAAUGCUUGUUUUCCCACAGAUUUUUCUGGUAGACUAUGUUGGGAAGUGUUUGGAUUGGGGAACUGUGAGCAAAGGUGGUAUUUCAGUACAGUUUUCUGUACUCUGAGUAAAGUUCCUUAUCUUUUCAUGUGUCUAAUGGUGUUAUCUUAGGUUACCUUAAGUUAUCUUAGGUAAUGGUUAGGGUUACCAUUGCUGUGAUAAAACACCAUGACCAAAGCAAGUCAAAGAAGGAAAGGUUUAUUUGGCUUACACUUUAGUACCAUAGUCCAUCACUGGAGGAAGUCAGGACAGGAACCCAAGCAGGACAGGAACCUGGAGGCAGGAGCUGAUGCAGAGGCCAUGGAAGGGUGCUGCUUACUGACUUGCUCCACAUGGCUUGCUCAGCCUGCUUUCUUAGAGAACCCAGGACCACCAGCUCAGGGGUGGCACCAACCACAAUGGCUGCCUUGUAGGCUUCCUUACAGCACCAUCAUAUGGAGGCAUUUUCUCAGUUGGGGUUUCCCCCUGUCAGAUGAUUCUAGCCUGUGUCAAGGUCACAUAAAAUGUGAACUGUCUGUUACUAUCUUUUGACCAUUUUUCUCUUAGGUUCCUGGCCUUCCUCUUUUGCUGUGUAGAACAGUGGUUCUCAACCUUCCUAAUGUUGUAACCCUUUAAUGUAGUUCCUCAUGUUCUGAUGACCCCCCAACCAGAAAAUUAUUUCAUUACUACUUUGUAACCGUAACUGUGCUACUGUUAGGAAUUGUUAUGUAAAUACAUGACAUACAGACUGAUAUGUGACCCCUGAGGGGUCUCGACCCACAGGUUGAGAACCAUUGGUUUAGCCGGGCACCGCCUUGAUUUUGGAGUAGUAAACCCUUCUGUUCUGCUGUUUCAGUGUUUUUGAGACAACAAUGUUUUUUGUGCCCAUGUUCUUGUGAAUUUUCAUACAAUAUCAUUAGGAGUCAUUUUAUCACUACUUUAUUUUCUUAUAACAGUAGUGUUUGGUUUUCCCCUCGGUCUCUGGGCUAUCUAGUCUCUGGUCCUCGGUCACCCAAACAUUGUUUGGUAUGGGUUUCAUCUCAUGGAGUGGACCGUAAGUCAGAUCAGACAUUGCUUGGUUACUCCCAGAAGAUCUGUGCCACCAUCGCCCUAGCAUCUUUUGAAGGCAGGACAGAUUGUAGUCAAAGGGCUGGUGGCUGACUUGGUUUUUACAUUUCUCUUUUUGUAGCGUGCAGGGUAACCUUCCCGUACUAAAGACACUACUAGAACAUAGGGAUGAAGGUUCUACAUAGGCACCAGCUCCAACCUCCCCAUGUUCAGCAACUUGUGUACAUACUCAGAAGUGGUAUAGCCGGGACAUUAUUAGUUCUCUUUUUAGUUGUAUAUUUAAAAUUAAUUUAUUUUCAUGUGUUUAUUGAUUGGGUUGCUUGGUUUUGAGUUCUUUUAUUUCCUGUGCUUAAAUCCUUUGUCAUGUGCACAUCUAAUAAAGAGUUUUUCUCAUUCUGUACGCCAUCUCUUUACUUGAUUUUUUACUUUGCUGUAGAUGAACUUUUUGAAUUAUGCGAAAUGCUAUGUUUUAGUUCUUGGUAUUAGGAUCUUUGGUCUGUUUUGAAUUGAUUUUCAUAGAAUAAGAUGUAGCGAAUGACGUUCUUCUACCUGUGAACUUUCAGUUUUCCAAGCAGUGUUUAUUAAAGAGGUUGGCUUUUUCUAAGGGUAUGUUUUGGCAUCAUUGUAAACAAAGUUUUCACAACUUUUGCCAUGUGGUUUUAUCUUCCUCUCAUUCUAUGAAAGCAAUUUUUUUUUUUUUAAUUCUUGGUCUGCUGUUUGUCCCAUUACCUCAGUACCGGGGGAUUUUUGUUACUAUGGCUCUGGAGAGGACUUGACAUCAGAAAUUGUUACGCCCCAGGGUUGUCCCUUUGCUCACGAUUUCUUUGACCACUAUGGCUCCUUGGAGCUUCCAUAUGAAUUUAGGUUUUGUUUUUAUUUUUCUGUUUCUGCAAGGAAUGCAGAUUAGUUUUGGUAGUAUCAUCACUUUUGUUAUGGUGACUGUUUAUCCAGAGGCAUGGGAGGUCUUCCCGUCUUCUGCUGUCUUACAUUUCUCUUGAGUCAAGGUUCUCUUGUGUAGCUCUCUCACUUCCUGAGUCCCUGUGGUAGAAUGAAUAAGUAUGGCCCUCAAAACUCACGUGUUUGAAUGCUUACCUAAGAAGUAGCAUUUGGUGCGACCUUACUGAAGGGGGUGUGUUGGGGAGUCAGGCUCUGAGGUCUCAUAAUCAAUGGGCCCAAUGGGAUAGAUUAGCCUAUCAUUUUCUUUUCUGUGUGUCUUUACCUGUUUUUAUUAUUAUAGUAAUAUUAGCUUCGUGAGUUUGGCGUUUCUUCUUCUCUUUCUAUGUAUGGGACGGUUUGAGGACCACUGGUGUUAGUUUUCCUUUAUGGUCUGGUAGAAGUCUGAGUUUUUCUUCACAGGAGACUAUUACUGCUUCAAUCUCACUGCCUAUUGUGUGUCCACUUAAGUUGGGCAUGUCCUCUUUGCUUAAUUUUUAUUGACUCAAAGUCUCUGGAAAUGUUCUCAUUUCUUGUACACAAUCCAGUUCAUUGGAACAUAGAUUUUCAGAUUAUGCUGCAACGAUCAUCUGCAUUUCAUUCCUGACUGUUGUCCCUUUUCAUCUCUAAUUUUAAUCCUUUGGGCUACCCUCUUUGGUUGGCUUGUCUCAAGAGUCAUCACCCAUGCUCAUCUUGGUUCACUGAUUUUGUUUGUAGUCUUAAUUUAAUUUCCAUUGUUCCUUCAUUUCUGCCCUCAUCGUUUUGCUCCAUCUACUGAUUUUGAGUUUGGAAUGUUCUUGUUUUCCAUAGAUGUGCAUUAAAAACUGAGGAAUAUCUUAAAUAACUUAAUAGACACUCAUACCCCUGUGUUCUCUUGUCCUUAUCCCAGCAUCCCUUCCUCCUCCUACCAAGUCCCUGUUUACUUUUAUGUCUUUGAUUUUGUUACAUUUUUGUGUUGUGAUCUUACUGGGUUUGACCAGGGGUAACAUUUUGGAAUGGGUGUAGAGCUAUCUGAAGUAUGGAUAAGUAGGCGUAUCACAGCAGAUGAUGACUUCCCCUCUCCAUGCAGCCCUCACCUGCCAACAGCUCCCUGCCAAGCCUCUCCAUUGCCUGUGAAUGUACAUUCGUGAGUUCAGUCUGUGCAGACCUCAGCAGGCAACCACAGCUGCUGUGACUUCGUGAGUGCUGUGACUGUGGCAUGCCUAUAAAAGAGCAUUGUACAGCGCUCCUUCCCACCUUCCAGCUCCUUCCUUCUUCCUGAUUACGCUUUGUAGUGUUCGUUGAGCCUUAGAGCAGGGGUCCUCAGCCUGUGGGUCAUGACCCCCUUUGGAGGUCAUUUGUCACAUACCCCACAUAGCUAUUUACAUUACUAUUCAUAACAGUAGUAAAAUUAUAUUUAUGAAAUACCGUCGAGAUAAUUUGAUGGCUGGGGCUCACCACAGCGUGAGGAACUGUAGUAAAGGGUCGCAGCAUGAGGAAGGUGGAGAGCCACUGCCUUAGAGGAAGUGAUAGAUGGCCUGUUUCAGGCAGGGUACUCAACAGUCACUUGUUCUUAGCCCCUUGGAAGCUCUAUGCACUAACUGCUGUUGACUGCUAAGAGAAGCUGCAAGAGAAGCUUGACCAAGAUUGAGGACCACACUGGCCUAUGGGUACAAAUGUAAAUAUUUUUUAAAAAACAAAUGUUUAAGUUGAUAUAUUUGACAACAUGUUCUUUUACCAAAAUAAAGAUAGUGGGUUUUCUCCUGGUGUGCAUGACUUUCCUGGUCAUGGAGCUUUGGCCAGAUCCCCAGUGCUGAUCAACUGCCUGCCGUGGGCUUGGCAUCCUCUAACAUUGUGCCAGUAUCGCACCAGUAGGCAGUGCCAGGAGACAUCUAGGAGAAGCUAAGGCUAGCAGGCGACUUUCCUGGAGCUGACCUACCUUUUUGAACUCUUGAGAGGCAAGGUCCCAAGUGACUUCAUCUCAGGAUUGCUUCUUGUAGCUAAUAUGCCUUUCCUGUCACUAUUGCAUAGCCUAGGGAUUCCUGGGCAUUAGCCUACCCUAUUGAGAAAAUUUUCUGCAAAUUAACAUAAAGAUGAACUUUCAUGAAUUAAUACUGUUUAGAUGAAUUAAUGAUUUUAUAGAAUUCCUGAUUCAAUCUUAUAGAUAUCCUGAUUCGAUUAAAAUAAUUUUAGGAAGAGAGUUUUAAGAAAUGGUUUUAGUUGUUUUGUGAGAAAGAUAGAAUAAAGUUAAAAUCAAGAAUAGAAUGUGCCCAUUCCUCAUAAAAUAGUAAGUAAAGGCUGCAUGAUGAGGAAUACAAUGAGCCUUCACAAUUACACUGAGAAGAUAAGUGAAUAGGCUUGGACAGACUUGUGAUCAAGGAAAACCAUUCAUUCUAGGUCACGUCAAGGAUGAAGCCACAGGUGUGCACUGAUAAAAUGAGGUCAUGUGAAACUGUUGCUUUGAACUCAUAAUGAGCUUACAGAAUGAAGCAUUGCUUUGAAUUUCAUAUCAACAUCCUCCUAUAACUCCCCUUUUGUGUAACAUCUAUGAGGUAAUUUUCUACAAACUUUUGUCUAUGAAAAGGCCAGAGAAUAGAAAUAAAGCUGUGGCUUGGUGGCUCUGUUCCAUUCAUUCAUCCAAAUGUAUAUGCAUGGCAUUUGGGCCUCAGCCCCAUCCACCAAAUGUAUAUAUGUAUAUGUCUUGUCUGUGUGUAGGUAUUCCUAACACUUGUGCAGUAGAUGAAAUGGGUGUUCAGGUCUGAUGAGAAUGUGUGUAUAAGCGCGCGUGUGUGUGUGUGUGUGUGUAUUUGCCUGCACAGAGGAUUUUGAUUUUUUCCUUUCUUUGUAACAUUUUAUUUAUGAGGUGAUUCUUACACAGAGAACUAAGCAAUGAAAAGGCUUUGUAGCCACCUGCUUUAUCCUAGGUGUGUCUUGUCUGUGUGAGUGACUUCUUUCCUCCCUAGUUCACAAAGAGUUAAGGAGCUCUGAGCCUUCUGCCUGGCCGGCUGGGGCUCCUGACUGGCUUGAGGAGCUCUAGCAGUAAAUCUGUUGCCUAACAGCAUGUGUUAAUCGCCAAACACCAUAGAAUAAGCAAGAAAGUGUUAAGUUUCCAGACGCCAUCGGCUUCCAGCCCCCAGUAAGGUUAGUUACAAGGGAUCAUCAGUCUUUUGGCCUUUGUCCAACUCUCUCCCCUGAGGCUGGCACCCCACCCACCCACCCCCUGCAGACUUUACCUUGCUAGUUAGUAUUGUAGUAUGUAAUGUCCAAAGCUGGGAAAGAUGAUUGCUGACUUUUCUCCCCUACUUACCUGCAUAGCAAGUUCUAGGACUGUAAAAGCUAGCCAGAAGGGAGGGAGUUUGUCACUGCAGUGUGGAUUCUGUGUUCUGAAAGCAAGGGGGCAUGAUGUAAUCAGGACUUACCAUCUAGUUCUGUGGGACAACCAAGGGCAAUGGCUUCAUCUGUACAGCUUGGGGGAACUGCUGGGGCUUUACUGGGCAACAACUCUUAGGAAGUUGCAUCUAACACUUGGCAUUGGGAUUUCCAUGUUCAACCCCAUGGCUUUGGGACAUUGCUCUCCCAUGCACGGUUCAGACACUUUAAAAAUUAUUGCGCUGUUGAGAUUGGUUUAUAAUGGGGCUGGCAGGUGACUCAUGAGUAACACGGAUUGCUGUCUAACAGUGCCAGUUUGCCAGUUGGAUGACCUAAAUUUGAUCUCCAGAACCAGGCAAAGGUGGAAAGAAUCCUCAGAAUGUCCUCCAAGCUCCACUCAAGAGGCAUAGAACCUGCGCCACCCCAUUCUAAUAGUGCAUAAAAGACAACGAUAUAAAUUCACUUAUGAAGUAGUGUUUCAGUGUGGCUUUUCCAAACGUCUUUAGUUUUGGUCAGUGCUCCUCCAUCUCCUCAUCUUCCCUCCAGUGCCCUGUUCCUGUUUAAACCUCCCAUGCCCAGUAUUUCUUCUUUCUCACGUGCGUCCUGCCAUCCCUACCCUUCUGAAUAGCCUCCUUUUUCGCCAAGGCCCCUUCCUUCCUUCCAAGUCUAUAAACAUACCAAGUUAAGAAUGCAUAAUACAAGAAUUUAAAGCUAUGAUUCACACAGGAGAGAGAGCAUUUGGGUUUUGACAUUGUGGAUGGAUUAUCUCACAUGGUGUAAAAAUUUUCAGUUUCACCAAUUUUUCUAUAAAUGCCAUGAUUUUAUUUUUACUUACAGCUGAAUAAAAGUCCAUUGUGUGUAUUGCCACCUUUUCACUGUCUGCUCAUCAGCUGGUUGUCAUUUAAAUGGAUUCUACUUGCUCCCUAGUGUGAAUAGAACAACAGUGGACCAGAAUGUGUAAAUACCUCUACAGUAGGAUUUGGGAUCCCUUUGGUGUGUGCUCACAAAUGGUAUAACUGGGUCAGUGGAGUUCUGCUUUUAGGCUUUUCCCCUCUUGAAUCACUAGGCACAUUCAAAGUGGCUAGCUUAGUUUGCACUCUGCCCACAGUGUAUAAGGGUUCCUUCCCCUUUCGCUAAACCCACACUAGCAUUGAUCUUUUGUAUUCUUGAUUGCCAUUCUGACUGGGGUACAGUGGAAUAUUUAUUUCUCUAUAACUAAGGAUUAGCCAUUCAUACUCUUUGUGAGCUUUGUUCAGUUCCACACCCAUCUUUUAAUUGGGUGAUUUUUUUGACGUUCAGUUUUUCAGUUCCUUGUAUAUCCCAGAUGCGAAUUCUCUGUCAGAUGUAUAAGAGAAGAUUUUCUCUCAGCAGAUGUAGGGAAUGGACCAGUCCUGAACCAGGAUUAGGACUGUUGGUGCUUAGUGGACAGACCCAAGAUAGUGAUCAGAUUUCACUCCAGAUUUAACAAGUGGUCAGGAAAUCCCACAUCGUCCAGCAGCUCCAACGGAAACUGUGGAUGAAGAGUGGGACAGGCCCAGCACUGCCUUGAUGCUUGCUUAAUUCCAUAUCUCUCAGUGGCUUCAGGGGAACCUUUGGAACCAGGGCGGAUUUAACCCUGCCCACAGGCAUACUCAAGGUUCCACAUUUCUUCAAGUGGCUUCAAGUGAAGCUUCAGACUCAGGAAGGGACCAGAGUUGACUCUGGGUAAGAACCACAGACAUGGAGAGCUUCAUAACUCCCUGCCAAGGCCACAGAUCCAUGUAAGAGGCCCUAGCUGACACAGGGCAAUACCAAACCCUCAGAUUUGAGCUACAACUUCCAGCCCUGACUGCCAGUCCUACAAAGGAGAAUGGCAUCUAAGCCCUGCUAGGACUUCUCUCUACUGAACACUGGAAACACCACUGCUGAAAGAAAGUGACUUAAGUUUAAAAAAUGAAAACAAGAGAAUAAUUCAACCAACAAACCCACCAGAUGCACAGAUGCCAGCACAGAAACCAAAACAACAUAAAGGCAGGCACUAGUUUCUAUAGCUGUGAUGAAAACACUAUGACCAAAAGCAAUUUGAUGAGGAAAGAAUUUAUUUCUCUUACACUUCUACACCACUGUGCAUUAUCAUCAAAGGACACCAGGGCAGGAACUCAAGGUGGGAACCUGGAGGCAGGGGCUGAUGCAGAGGCCAUGGAGGGGUGCUGCUUACUCUGCUCCUUAUGGCUUGCUCGGCCUGCUUUCUUAUAGCACCCAGCACCACCAGCCCAGAGGUGGCACCACCCACAAUGUGCAGUGUCAGCCUGACUAUGGCCUGAUCUCAUGGAGGCAUUUUCUCAGCAAGUUUCUUCUUCUCAAGUGACUCCAACUUGUGCCAAGUUAACAUAAACACUAUCAAGCACAAGCAGAGCAUUGGGAUAUCAUAAAAUGAUAAGCCUGUUCAAACAAUGAUUACGUUCAGACAGGUCAACGAGGGCACACGUCAGGAGUACAAAACUAAAAAGAUGGCUGAUAAGGAAGUGAGUCUGAGUUAUGAAAAUAGAAUUGCUGAAGAAAACCCAAUCUAAAAUAAUGCUGGAAAUAACAAACUCGAUAAAUCAAAUAAAAACACAAACAAAAAGCCUCACCAGCAGAGUGGAUCGUGUAGGAAGCAGAGUCAAGGAUAGACAACAGGUGAAGAGCACGGAUCAUUCAGUCCUGGACAGUGGUAAAUUUAAAAAUAAUGUGAACAGAAAGUGGGAGAGUAUUGGGACACCACGAAAAGACCUAACAUUCAGACUAGGAGCCUAAAAAAAGAUAAUACCACAGAUAGGAUAUAAAAUGUUUCCAAUAGAAUUAUAGAAAAUUUCUCCAAACUAGAGAAGAAGAUGCCAUCUAGACACAAAAGAUAGAGCUCCAAAUAGACAACCAGAAAAGAGACUCCCUGUAACGUAUUAAAACCACAGAAUAGGGGCUGGGGAUUUAGCUCAGUGGUAGAGCGCUUACCUAGGAAGCGCAAGGCCCUGGGUUCUGUCCCCAGCUCCGAAAAAAAGAACCAAAAAAAAAAAAAAACCCACAGAAUAAUGACAGGCUAUUAAAAGCUACAAGAGAGAAAAGUCAUGUAUAAGGCAAGCCCAUCAAUACAACACUCGACUAUUCAGAAGAAAGAAUUAAAGUGAGAAGGGGCUAGGAAGGUGCGUUCAGAGUUCUGAAAGGCCAAUAACACUCUGCCAGAAAAACAAUUAAAACUGAAGAAAACGUAACUCCCCACAAUAACAGAUUAAAAGCUAUGUGUCCGCUAAAGCCGACUCUACAGAGGAUGCUGGGAGAAUACUUCGGUGUGGAGGCAAGGGUAAAUACACUCGAGUUCGCCUGGAGCAGUUUGAGAACAGUUAAUCCAAAAAGAAGAAAAGAGGUCUAAAAAUCCUCCAGCACAAUGUCAGACAUUGUGAAUGAAUAGACAUUGUUCAGGAAUGACUCAUAAUGGUCUCAAUUCUCCAAAAAAGAGACACAGACGUGCAGUUUGGUUUAGAAAACAGUACUGAUAUUUUUGCUACCUCCAAGAAACACACCUCACCAUCCACAAUAGAUUUUACCUUUGAGUAAAAGGAUGAUGACGGUGUUCCUAGUAAACAGAACCAAGAAGUAGGCAGCACAGGUGUUCUAAUAGCUAACAAAACAGACUUCAAAUCUAAUUAGAAGAGGUAAUGAGGCUUCAUACCCACCAGAGCAGCAAUCCACUAAUAAGACUCUGUAAUUUUAAACACAUGCACAACAACACAAGUUCAUAAAAGAAAUAUUAUUGGCUCUAACACCACAGAUUAGCCCUAAUACAGAGAUAAUGGGUGACUUCAAAACUCUUCUCUUACCAGUAGAUGAUGAGCUGGACAAAACCUAAACAAGCUUAGAGUUAAAUAUUAGAUCAAAUGCGUCUAUCAGGGAUCUGUAAAACAGUUCCACCAAGACACUAAGUACACUUUCCCCUCAGCAGAAUGUAUAAUUCUUUCCAAAGUCAACCACAUAUUAAAACACAAUGCAAGAUUUAACAAUUAUAGGAAAGUUGAAAAAAAUCUGCAUUGUGUCUGAGUACAGUGAAAUGGGCUAGACAUCAGCAACAAUAGAAGGCACUGUGCAGUAUUAUGUCGACUUGGAACAAUCUAGAGUCAUCUGAAAGGAGGGGCCCACAGUUGAGAGAAUGCCUCUAUAAACUAUGGCUGUGUGCAGUUUUCUUAAUUAGUGAUUGAUGGGGUGGGCUCAGCCUAUUGUGGGUUGUGCUAUCCCUGGUGGUCCUGGGAUCUAUAAGAAGUCAGGGUGAGCACACUAUGGAUAAGAAAGCCAGUAAGCAACAAUCCUCUGUGGCCUGUGCAUCAGCUCCUGCCUCUGGGUUUCAGCCCUGCUAGAGUUUCUGUCUUGACCUCUCUCAGUGGUGGACUGUGGUUUGGAAGUGUAAGACAACUUGUUCAUUAUGUUUUAUCAUAGCAAUAGUAACUCUAACUAGGACAGAGGGCAAGGAAAAUACACAGACUCACAGACUGAACACACUAUUUUUUUUUUCUAUUCUUUUUUUCGGAGCUGGGGACCGAACCCAGGGCCUUGCACUUGCUAGGCAAGCGCUCUACCACUGAGCCAAAUCCCCAACCCCGAACACACUAUUUGAUGGUAAUAUAGUCAAGGAAGAAAUUAAGGGGGGAAAAAUAAAAUCCCAGAAUUGAAUGAAAAUGAAAACAACAUAGGAAAGUCUGUGGAGCACAGUGAAGGUAAUCCUAAGAAGAAAGGUUAUAGCUCCUCAGACCUAUAUCAAAAUGUUCGAGAGAUCUAAACCACUUGAUGGUGCACUGACAAACCUUGGAAAAUUUGAAUAAACAGGAUCCCAAAGGAGUAGAAGGGAAGAGGCAAUAAAAACAGGGCUAGAAUUAAUAAAAUAGAAACAAAGGUACAAACAGAGAAUAAAGAGUUGAUUCUUUGAAAAGACUUGAUCAUUGACAAGCCAUUAAACAAACUACUUUCCCAAAGAGAAAAGCCAUUAGUAAAAUUACAGGUGAAAAGGAAGACAUUGAAACAGAUAUUAAGGAAAUGGAGAGAUUCAUUAAGGACAUACUUUAAAAGUUUAUACCCCAGCAACUUGAAAGUCUAAAAGCAAUGGAUGAAUUUCUAAAUGUGUUUGAUCUACCAGAGUUAAAUCUGGAUGAGAUGGUUAUGGACUAACAACAGCCAAUGAGGUGGAAGUAGUAAUUUAAAAUCUCCCAAUUGAAAACAUGGCCGGACAAGUUCAGAGCAGAAUUCUGACAGAUUGCCAAAGAAGAAUUAACACAGUAUGUGUCAAAUUAUUUCAUAAAAUUAAAAAAUUAAAAAGGAUGGAACCCUUUCAAUUAAAAUUUUUUUGAGACAAGUUUUCAUUGUCAUCCUUGCUGCCCUGAAAUUCACUAUGUAGACCAUGUUGACUGCAAACUCACAGCGAUCCACGUGCCCUGCCUUCAAGUUGUGGGAUUAAAGUUGUGCACUACCAUACCUUUCCCAAAUUCUUUGUGUGAUUCAGUAUUCCUGUGAUACCAAAACCAGGCACAGACCUGACAAAGAUUUAUAGGGCCGAUCUGAGGAACAUAGACACAAAACAUUUUUUUUUCAAUAAAGAACUUGCAAACCAAAUUCAAGAACAUAUCAAAAAGAUCAUCUGCCAUGAUCAAGUCAGCUUCAUCUCAAUGUCAGAAGGAUGAUUCAACAUGCAUAAACCAAUUAAUAUUAUCUACCACAUUAAUAUUCCAAGUACAGAAACCACGUGAUCAUCCUAUUAGAUGCAGAAAAGGCCUUUGACAAAAUCCAACAUCCUUUCAUGAUAAUAAUAAUAAUACCUAUGAAUACAAGUGAUAUAUUCUAACAUAGAGACUAUAUACCGGACACCCACAGGCAUCGUCAUCACGCUAAAUGGAGAAAAGCUAGAAGCAUUUCUGCUUAUGUCAGGAUCAAGACAAAGACGUCCACUUAAUCCACUUCUGUUCAACGUAGUGUUUACCUCAAGCAUUAAGAAAACAGGAGGAGACAAAAGGAAAAAAACAAACUCAAAAUUACCAGUAUUUGCAGAUGAUACAAUUCUAUACCUAAAAGACCCAAAGAUUCCACCAGAAA